Tupaia belangeri chinensis (Chinese tree shrew) is the source of this 955-nucleotide long non-coding RNA. RefSeq lists it as uncharacterized. Lineage: Eukaryota; Metazoa; Chordata; Mammalia; Scandentia; Tupaiidae. The transcript has 3 exons. The record is from RefSeq and is a predicted model, not a curated record.
GGGUCGCUGAAGGAGAGAACCUCCUGGUUUGCUGGGUCUCCGGUCCCCAGACGCGGUGACGCGUGUGCACUGGGAAAGGACGGCCGCCGGGGUGGGUGUGUGGAAAGCUCACAGUGUUCUCAGAGCACAUAACGCGAGGCCAGAGCUGGCUACUGGGAGCACGCUGCAUCUUCAGGGGCCGCAGGUGGCAGCGGACAAGGCCCUGGAGCCCGCCUUCCCAGCUUGUCACUUGGCGGCCGGGUCCACACACCCCCAACUACCCUGGCUCCCGCUCGGUCUGCCCGGUGCGGGGGCGGAGAAGGGGCUCAGCGCGAAAGAGCGCGCCAGCCUCGGGGAAGCCCUGCCUCGCACAGCUGCCCUGGGGGUAGGCCCAGGCCUAGGACCGAGGGUCUUUCUGAAUGAUAGCUUCACCAGUUGCCUCUGCAUGAAUGACUCUAAUAUAAUAGGCAUUUCCAGCUCGACUCCUGGCUCAAUUACAGCCCAACACUCUCGAUCAAUUGUGACGUUCGCUGUGUGACUCCAGCAUAUCUGAAAAAUCAAAGAUCAAAAAUCUUCUGCUUCCUGUUCCUAUGUGUUCCCUCAAGCUCUCCCACAUUCUCAAAUGACCAGCUCCUCUUUUAAUUGAUUAUGUAGUUAAGUCCAGUCAACCCUUUGCUUCAGGUGAAUGAGCAUCCUUUCAUUAUCUGUUAACUCUGGGCAAUAAUUAAAAGAUAACUUACAUCUAUAUAGCACUUUAAUAUUUACAUGGUACUUCAGUUUUUAGUAUUUCAGAAAUUCUCAAAAAUUUUCUGACAUUAUGCUAAACAAAAAUAAAAGGCUUGCUUCUUCCCCAAAGUCACACAGCUUUAAGUGGCAAACAACUAAAUCUAGGUGAGGCCCGGCAUCUUUUUAGUUACUCCAUAUACACAAUAUAUAAAUAGUAUGCAAGGAAAACAGAAAUUUCUUCUAACAGUAA